RNAcentral lists this ribosomal RNA (253 nucleotides) under uncultured bacterium. Its description in RNAcentral is "partial 16S ribosomal RNA". It matches the Rfam family "Bacterial small subunit ribosomal RNA", at positions 524 to 776 of the family's 1533-position model. The record is from RNAcentral.
UACGUAGGGCGCGAGCGUUGUCCGGAAUUAUUGGGCGUAAAGAGCUCGUAGGCGGCUUGUUGCGUCGGCUGUGAAAUCCCGGGGCUUAACUCCGGGCGUGCAGCCGAUACGGGCAGGCUAGAGUCCGGUAGGGGAGACUGGAAUUCCUGGUGUAGCGGUGAAAUGCGCAGAUAUCAGGAGGAACACCGGUGGCGAAGGCGGGUCUCUGGGCCGGUACUGACGCUAAGGAGCGAAAGCGUGGGGAGCGAACAGG